CUGUGAGAAACCGAACUGUAUUAUAUAAUUUAUACCUCUAAUACGGCGCCUUCUUCUUCUUUUGAGUUUUAAUGGCGGGUUGCGAAGCAACGUCAUAGUUGCAUACUGCCAUCUACUGUAUCGGAUGCACGGCUUGAGGGCUAUACAGGGACACCCGAAACCGUAGGUGGCGGUAUGCACCUAUGAAGUUGCUUCGCAACCCGCCAUUAAAACUCUAAAGAAGAAGGUGCUGUGCACGGGCUCAUUUGACUACGCAUAGUACUGUAUUAGAGGUAAAAAAAUUAUAUAAAUACUGUUCGGCUUCUCGCACAAACCGAUCGUUUCGUUUCUUAGGAUAUCAAUGUGUCGUCACGAGCGGCAGGGUUUAAUUUGGAUUUGUCUGUGCAUGUUUUUACUGUCUGAGAUUUUGUUACUAUUCACAUGCAUACAGACUGAAACGGUUGGAGUUUCUACAUUUGUGUUGUACUGAAGAAACAAAAUCACAUACAUCUUGGAUGACCUCGGGGUAAGCUGAUAAAUAUAAAAAAUUCAUUUUAAGAUGAAUCCCGUACGUUGGCGGCUGUUUUAAACUGGGUGCUCGGCUCAGACCCUUUUGCCAGUAUGAAGCCGAUUUCAACGGUAACUGCAGAAAGCGUCAGCACGCUCAGCUCAUCACUGGAGUAACGUCUGUACAACGGGUGAGAUAAAACUCAACGCCUGACUGAAUCAUCCAUUCCAUUUUCGAUCCUACGCCAUACGUUAAACUUGAGGUAAUCUUGCUUUUGCUGUUCUAAAAUAAACACUGCUCUUAGCACACCACCCAUACAUGGCACACAAAACAGGUCUUGUGAGGGGGCUGUGCCCACAGGUAGAAAUUCUGUAGGUCCACGGGCUUCUCCCCUUUCAGCGAACAUCACAGCGCUUAGUCCACCAUCGUGGUCUCCAAUCUCCAUUACCAACAGCCUGAGUGCUACACCUACAGACACCCCAACCCAUGCAGCAGCUGGCAGAAGUCAGACAUCAGGCCAAACUGGAUUUCAACACACCCCACCCUUACAUGGCACACAAGUAUAUGACACACAACACAGCUCAGGAGGCUGUGCCUACAGCAAUAGGCUUUACGCCCAGCUGCACUACUUCCUGAACUUCAGCCAGCUCCUUGUUUCCUGUCUGCCAUUAUUGGACAAACUGAUUAAUCCAGGUGUGCCUCAGCUUAGUAGUCACAACAACAAUAAUCAGAC
Molecule: long non-coding RNA, 1220 nt
Organism: Paramisgurnus dabryanus
Lineage: Eukaryota; Metazoa; Chordata; Actinopteri; Cypriniformes; Cobitidae
Source: RefSeq, a predicted model, not a curated record